AGCGAACGUUAGCGGCGGGCCUAACACAUGCAAGUCGAACGAGAAUGAGGGGGCAACUCCUCUAGUAAAGUGGCGGACGGGUGCGUAACACGUUGGUAAUCUACCUUCCGGCGGGGGACGAACAGUCCGAAAGGAUUGCUAAUACCGCAUACGUCGACGAGGUCUCCGGAUCUUGUCGGGAAAGAACGGCCUCUCCUUGGAAGCUGUCACCGGAAGAUGAACCUGCGGCCCAUCAGCUAGUUGGUGAGGUAACGGCUCACCAAGGCGAAGACGGGUAGGCUGGUCUGAGAGGAUGAUCAGCCACACUGGGACUGCGACACGGCCCACGACUCCUACGGGAGGCAGCAGUGGGGAAUAUUGGGCAAUGGGCGCAAGCCUGACCCAGCCACGCCGCGUGAGUGAU
RNAcentral lists this ribosomal RNA (403 nucleotides) under uncultured bacterium. RNAcentral's name for it is "bacterial SSU rRNA". It matches the Rfam family "Bacterial small subunit ribosomal RNA", at positions 29 to 409 of the family's 1533-position model. The record is from RNAcentral.